Molecule: RNA transcript, 3052 nt
Organism: Nicotiana attenuata
Lineage: Eukaryota; Viridiplantae; Streptophyta; Magnoliopsida; Solanales; Solanaceae
Gene name: FT-interacting protein 1-like
Exons: 3
Source: RefSeq, a predicted model, not a curated record
CUACCCCUUUCUACCCCAACCCCACCACCCACCUGAAACACACUGGAAAAGGGAGUACCCGCUCUGUCCUUCUCUUUCCUUUUUCUCUCUCUAACUUCACUGUUUUUUCCCCUCUCUCUCUGAGUCUUUGCUCUUUUUCUCUUUCUAGACCUCACUGUAGUAUUCUCCAUCACUUUGAUACCAAAAGAAACUAAAACCCCUUUUUCUUUUUCUCCUCAACAAGGUUCCACGCUUCAGAAUCUUAUCAGCAAAAUCCCAUCUUUUCAUCCUCAGCAUCCAUGAAUCCUCUAGGUUUGAAGCAUUGAGAUGAAUCGGAUCUGAGGUUGUGAGUGAAUGGUUUUGGCAUUUUUUGGAUUAUGGGAUCUAGGGUUAAACAUAUUUAAGCGUUCUCCGUUUAAUAUUUUUGGUUAACUUGCUUAGGACUGUUAUAUGUGAAGAUUAUUUAGCAUUACUGUAGUUUGAGCUGUCUCUGCUGAGAUCCUUAUUAGGGGGUUUGCUUUAUUUGUUGAUUAUUGGCUCAACUGUGGUGGAGAAAUUGAAGGGUUUUGGGACAUUUUUUCUUGAGUGAGAACUAGUAGCCUUAAAAAUGCAGAGACCACCACAAGAAGAUUUUUCGCUCAAAGAGACCAAACCCCACCUUGGUGGAGGGAAGGUCACGGGCGAUAAGCUUACUAGCACCUAUGACUUGGUUGAGCAAAUGCAGUAUCUUUAUGUUCGGGUGGUGAAAGCAAAGGACUUACCUGGGAAGGAUGUAACGGGUAGUCUUGAUCCUUAUGUUGAGGUUAGGCUCGGGAACUAUAGGGGUACGACCCGUCAUUUUGAGAAGAAGUCAAAUCCCGAAUGGAAUCAGGUGUUUGCUUUUUCCAAGGAUCGGAUUCAAGCUUCUGUACUUGAGGUGAGCGUGAAAGAUAAGGAUCUUGUUAAGGAUGAUUUUGUUGGUCGCUAUAUGUUUGAUUUGAAUGAGAUCCCAAAAAGAGUGCCCCCAGAUAGUCCUCUUGCUCCGCAGUGGUAUAGGUUGGAGGACAGAAAUGGUAACAAAGUUAAAAGGAGAGCGUGAUGUUGGGCUGUUUUGGAUGGGUACUCAAGCUGAUGAAGCCUUUCCUGAAUCUUGGCAUUCCGAUGCUGCGACUGUUAGUGGUGCUGAUGCUCUUGCAAAUAUAAGGUCUAAGGUGUACCUCUCACCAAAGCUGUGGUACCUUAGAGUUAAUGUGAUUGAGGCUCAGGACUUGAUUCCCGGUGACAGAAGUAGGUUUCCAGAAGUUUACGUGAAGGCCAUCCUUGGAAAUCAGGCAUUGAGAACCAGAGUUUCCAUGAGCAAGACUAUCAAUCCGAUGUGGAAUGAGGAUCUGAUGUUCGUAGCAGCAGAACCAUUUGAGGAGCCAUUGAUUUUGAGUGUGGAAGACAGAGUUGCACCAAACAAGGAUGAAGUUCUCGGAAGGUGUGCUAUUCCUUUGCAGUAUAUUGAUAGGAGAUUGGAUCACAGACCUAUUAACAGUAAGUGGUAUAAUCUUGAAAAGCAUAUAAUGGUUGAGGGAGAAAAGAAGAAGGAAAUCAAGUUUGCAAGCAGGCUUCACAUGAGGCUAUAUUUGGAAGGAGGUUAUCAUGUUCUGGAUGAGUCAACCCAUUACAGUAGUGAUCUUAGACCAACUGCAAAACAGCUGUGGAAGUCCAGCAUUGGUGUCCUAGAAUUGGGUAUUCUGAAUGCUCACGGCCUCUCGCCGAUGAANUCAGACUUGGCAAUGGGAGAGGAUAAAGUCCGAAGGGGCGAAGAGACGUCGACGGAGUUCGAUCGUGUUACGUACACAUUCUAUUCCACACUGGUCUUGCAUCCUACCGGGGUGAAGAAGAUGGGUGAAAUUCACUUGGCUGUAAGAUUUACUUGCUCAUCAUUAAUGAAUAUGAUGCAUAUGUAUUCUCAGCCACUGCUACCUAAAAUGCACUAUAUUCAUCCUUUAACUGUCAGCCAGCUCGACAGCUUAAGGCAUCAAGCCACUCAGAUUGUCUCAAUGAGGCUGAGUCGUGCUGAGCCACCUUUGAGGAAAGAGAUAGUGGAGUAUAUGUUGGAUGUUGGUUCCCACAUGUGGAGUAUGAGGAGAAGCAAAGCCAACUUUUUUAGGAUUAUGGGAGUUUUGGGUGGAUUAAUUGCUAUUGGAAGAUGGUUUGAUCAGAUAUGCCAUUGGAAAAACCCCAUUACGACUGUUCUGAUCCAUAUCUUGUUCUUGAUACUGGUUCUAUAUCCGGAGCUUAUUCUGCCUACCAUUUUCCUUUAUCUCUUCUUAAUCGGAGUUUGGUAUUACAGAUGGAGGCCUAGAAAUCCUCCCCACAUGGAUACUCGUCUUUCUUGUGCUGAUAAUGCGCAUCCUGAUGAAUUAGACGAAGAAUUUGAUACUUUCCCUACUUCACGUCCCCCUGAUAUUGUUCGGAUGAGGUAUGACCGUUUGAGAAGUAUUGCUGGACGGAUUCAGACUGUGGUUGGUGAUUUGGCUACUCAAGGGGAGAGGCUACAGUCUUUGCUGAGCUGGAGAGACCCUAGAGCAACAGCAUUGUUCGUUAUUUUCUGCUUGAUUGCUGCCAUUGUGCUCUAUGUCACCCCUUUUCAAGUUGUGGCACUCUUGACUGGAUUUUAUGUGUUAAGACAUCCGCGGUUUCGUCACAAGCUACCAUCUGCGCCGCUUAAUUUCUUCAGAAGAUUGCCCGCAAGAACAGACUGCAUGCUAUGAGCUAUACUGUUGGCUGGUAUUAUCCAUUUCCCCCUGUGUCUUGAGUUGAUGAACUACUUUAGAAAUUAGCAGGGCUUUAUUUUAUUCCCCUCACUCGCUUAUAUUCCCUUUUUCCCUCCCCUAGUGGUAAGUGUUAUGUCCUAGUGUGUGUAAGAUCUCCCUGAAACUGUUAGAUUUAGUGGAUUUACUGUUUAUUUAUUCAAAAAUUCUGUUGAAAUUUGGCUGCUAGAGCCUAGAUGGAAAUCCAUAUUUGUAGUCUUGUGGGUUCUUUCUUUUUGAACUUUCUUCAUGCCUAAUUCAAAGUUUUCUGUCUAUUCAAGUUGGUUUUUACA